GUUUACUUAGCUCAAGGAGAGAGUGUUACUUUGAAGAAGUAAAGAUAUCAUAAUUGAUAGUAAACA
Molecule: transfer RNA, 66 nt
Filed under: Ibidoecus bisignatus (glossy ibis head louse)
Lineage: Eukaryota; Metazoa; Arthropoda; Insecta; Psocodea; Philopteridae
Description: tRNA-Phe
Rfam family: tRNA
About the family: Transfer RNA (tRNA) molecules are approximately 80 nucleotides in length. Their secondary structure includes four short double-helical elements and three loops (D, anti-codon, and T loops). Further hydrogen bonds mediate the characteristic L-shaped molecular structure. tRNAs have two regions of fundamental functional importance: the anti-codon, which is responsible for specific mRNA codon recognition, and the 3' end, to which the tRNAs corresponding amino acid is attached (by aminoacyl-tRNA synthetases). tRNAs cope with the degeneracy of the genetic code in two manners: having more than one tRNA (with a specific anti-codon) for a particular amino acid; and 'wobble' base-pairing, i.e. permitting non-standard base-pairing at the 3rd anti-codon position.
Source: RNAcentral